Perca flavescens (yellow perch) is the source of this 736-nucleotide long non-coding RNA. RefSeq lists it as uncharacterized. The record is from RefSeq and is a predicted model, not a curated record. The transcript is spliced from 3 exons. Lineage: Eukaryota; Metazoa; Chordata; Actinopteri; Perciformes; Percidae.
UGACCCCCAUCUACUGUAGGUAAUACACUGACUAUGGAUAAUUACCUCAUACGACCCCAUUUCAAAACUUUCAAAACUAUCCCUUUAAGUAGCCUACACUUCUUGACUAGAUGGCCUGUGCUGUGAAUAAUGUAGCUUAUGUCAAUGAUUGUGUUGGGUUUAAAUUUUUGUCUCUCUGUCUGUCACUGACCGGAGGUACGGAGCAGUCAGGUGUAGGACAUGGAGGCGUUUGUCCUCGAUUGGAGUUGAACGUCGACUUAGUCCGGUGCCGUACUGGACGGUCCACCUGGUCGCCAUAGGAACGGUCCUGAUAGACAAGCUCGGAGCUCUGCUGCGUCGUCUCUUUGGAGGAUCUGAUGGUGUUGGAGUCCAGAGCCAGACCACAGACCAGAGACACGCACAGGACGCUACGCCACAGCCACAUCAUCCUCCGAGCGAUUGAUCAAUCAAUCACUCCUCUAUCAACUAUCAAUCACUGGAUCCUGCUUCUGUCUGCUACUGUCCCUCUGAGGUUCUUCAGGUUUGUUUUUUAUACCCUUCCCUCUCCCCUCUGAUCCGUCCCGUCUCUCAGAAGUUUUGAAGGUGCGUUUGAAGCUCGACCGCAUCAGUCGGCGGAGCCAGCGCCGCCUUCGCUUCCUUCCUGGAAGCCCCGCGGGCGGCCUCAGGUGAGGGUGGGACGUUUGAUACAUGACACCGCAGAGACCACUGAGAGAUUACAACACACCUGGAGACACGA